AUGUGUUCCGGCCUCGGCCCGCUCUGUUCCAAAAGGAUUCGUGUUUUAUUUUACCUGGAGUGGGCUACCCAACGACAGUGCGUGCGAUUGACUCACCUAUACAAAAGCCACAUGUUCUCCUUUCAGUUAAUAAUCCCGGCCUCGGCCCGCUCUGUUGCAAAAGGAUUCGUGUUUUAUUUUUACCUGGAGUGGGCUACCCAACGACAGUGCGUGCGAUUGACUCACCUAUACAAAAGCCACAUGUUCUCCUUUCAGUUAAUAAUCCCACAUUGCUCUUUUACAUCUAAUCUCAUCGAUUUAUAUAUGCAUGCCCUGGUGAUCGAAACAAGCGGCCAUGAAAAUUGA
Molecule: ribosomal RNA, 345 nt
Filed under: Triticum aestivum (bread wheat)
Lineage: Eukaryota; Viridiplantae; Streptophyta; Magnoliopsida; Poales; Poaceae
Description: partial small subunit ribosomal RNA
Source: RNAcentral